This 465-nucleotide ribosomal RNA is filed under the name uncultured bacterium. RNAcentral's name for it is "partial 16S ribosomal RNA". It matches the Rfam family "Bacterial small subunit ribosomal RNA", at positions 338 to 795 of the family's 1533-position model. The record is from RNAcentral.
CCUACGGGAGGCAGCAGUAGGGAAUCUUCCACAAUGGGCGAAAGCCUGAUGGAGCAACGCCGCGUGGGUGAAGAAGGUCUUCGGAUCGUAAAACCCUGUUGUUAGAGAAGAACGUGCGUGAGAGUAACUGUUCACGUUUCGACGGUAUCUAACCAGAAAGCCACGGCUAACUACGUGCCAGCAGCCGCGGUAAUACGUAGGUGGCAAGCGUUAUCCGGAUUUAUUUGGCGUAAAGGGAACGCAGGCGGUCUUUUAAGUCUGAUGUGAAAGCCUUCGGCUUAACCGGAGUAGUGCAUUGGAAACUGGGAGACUUGAGUGCAGAAGAGGAGAGUGGAACUCCAUGUGUAGCGGUGAAAUGCGUAGAUAUAUGGAAGAACACCAGUGGCGAAAGCGGCUCUCUGGUCUGUAACUGACGCUGAGGUUCGAAAGCGUGGGUAGCAAACAGGAUUAGAUACCCCUGUAGUC